RNAcentral lists this non-coding RNA (777 nucleotides) under Hebomoia glaucippe. The record is from RNAcentral. Lineage: Eukaryota; Metazoa; Arthropoda; Insecta; Lepidoptera; Pieridae.
AAAUAAAAUUUUAUGAUUUAAAAAAUUUAUUUUAAGUUUAAUUUACAUAUAAAUUUUAGUAUGAAUUUUAUUUAAUUUAAAAAAUUAAAUGAUUUAUUUAUAGUAAUUAAAAUUAAAAAUUUAAGAAAUUAAGAUUUAGUAAUAUUUUAAUUAAAUAACAAAUUUUGUGCCAGCAGUUGCGGUUAUACAAAAAUUUGAAUAAAUUUUAUUAGUAAAAAUAAAUAAAUUUAAAUAAUUAAAUUAGAUUUUAAAUUAUUAAGUGAAAUUUUAAUUUAAAUAAAAUUUAAAUAAAAAUUAUGAUUUAAAAAAUUUUAAUAAUACACUAGGAUUAGAUACCCUAUUAUAAAAAAUUAAUUUAUAUUACUAAAAAAGUAUAUAAAAUAUAUUGAAACUUAAGUAAUUUGGCGGUAUUUUAGUUCAUUUAGAGGAAUCUGUUUAGUAAUUGAUAAUCCACGAAUAAAUUUACUUAAUUUAAAAUUUUAUAUAUCGUUGUUAAAAAAAUAUUUUUUAUAAAAAAUAAUAUUUUAAAAUUAAAAUUUGAAAUUAAUUCAGAUCAAGAUGUAGAUUAUAAUUAAGAUAGAAUGGAUUACAAUAUAAAAAAUAUAAAUGAAUAAUAAAUUUAAAAAAAUUAUUUGAAAGUGGAUUUAAAUGUAAUUUUAUUUAAUUUAAUAAAAUGAUUAAAAAUUGAAAUAUGUACAUAUUGCCCGUCACUUUCAUUUUAAAGUUGGAAUAAGUCGUAACAAAGUAGGGGUACUGGAAAGUGUUCCUAGAAAGAUA